UACGGAGGGUGCAAGCGUUAUCCGGAAUCACUGGGCGUAAAGGGCGCGUAGGCGGUCUGUUAAGUCUGGCGUUAAAGCCUGGGGCUCAACCCCAGAUCAGCGUUGGAUACUGGCAGGCUAGACGGCUGGAGAGGCGAGUGGAAUUACCAGUGUAGCGGUGGAAUGCGUAGAUACUGGUAGGAACACCCAUUGCGAAGGCAGCUCGCUGGACAGCACGUGACGCUGAGGCGCGAAAGUGUGGGGAGCAAACCGGAUUAGA
This 259-nucleotide ribosomal RNA is filed under the name uncultured prokaryote. RNAcentral's name for it is "partial 16S ribosomal RNA". It matches the Rfam family "Bacterial small subunit ribosomal RNA", at positions 524 to 782 of the family's 1533-position model. The record is from RNAcentral.